RNAcentral lists this ribosomal RNA (814 nucleotides) under uncultured bacterium. RNAcentral describes it as "bacterial SSU rRNA". It matches the Rfam family "Bacterial small subunit ribosomal RNA", at positions 30 to 872 of the family's 1533-position model. The record is from RNAcentral.
UGAACGCUGGCGGCGUGGCUAAGACAUGCAAGUCGCACGGUGUAGCAAUACACAGUGGCGAACGGGAGAGUAAUGAAUCGCUAACGUACCCCGGACUCCGGGAUAGCCAUCCGAAAGGAUGGGUAAUACCGGAUGACAUCACCACCAGGCAUCUGGAGGUGCUCAAAGGUCCGCCGGUCUGGGAGCGGGCGAUUUCGUAUCAGCUAGUUGGUGGGGUAACGGCCCACCAAGGCGACGACGCGUAGCCGGACUGAGAGGUUGGCCGGCCUCAUUGGGACUGAGACACUGCCCAGACUCCUACGGGGGGCUGCAGUAACGAAUCUUCCGCAAUGCACGAAAGUGUGACGGAGCGACGCCGCGUGUGGGACGAAGCCCUUCGGGGUGUAAACCACUGUCAGGGGUUACCAAGUUCUGAGGAGCCCCAGAGGAAGGCACGGCUAACUCUGUGCCAGCAGCCGCGGUAAGACAGAGGUGCCAAGCGUUAGGCGGAAUCACUGGGCUUAAAGCGUGUGUAGGCGGACGGGUAAGUACCUUGUGAAAUCCCACGGCUCAACCGUGGAACUGCUCGGUAUACUGCCCGUCUUGAGCCACUUAGGGGUCGUCGGAACAAACGGUGGAGCGGUGAAAUGCGUAGAUAUCGUUUGGAACGCCAACGGUGAAAACAGACGACUGGGAGUGUGCUGACGCUGAGACACGAAAGCCAGGGGAGCGAACGGGAUUAGAUACCCCGGUAGUCCUGGCCCUAAACGAUGUCGACUAGGUCGUGGCGCCUCUGACGGCGUCGCGGCCGAAGCAAAAGUGCUAAGUCGACCGC